AGGUAAGCUUGCUUUUCCGCUGACGAGUGGCGCACGGGUGCGUAACGCGUAUACAAUCUGCCUCUUACAGGGGGAUAGCCUUUGGAAACGAAGAAUAAUACCCCAUGGUAUCCCGACCCCGCAUGGGCGUCGGGAUUAAAGAUUUAUCGGUAAGAGAUGAGUAUGCGUCCUAUUAGCUAGAUGGUGUGGUAACGGCACACCAUGGCCACGAUAGGUAGGGGCCCUGAGAGGGGGAUCCCCCACACUGGUACUGAGACACGGACCAGACUCCUACGGGAGGCAGCAGUGAGGAAUAUUGGACAAUGGGCGGAAGCCUGAUCCAGCCAUGCCGCGUGCAGGAAGACUGCCCUAUGGGUUGUAAACUGCUUUUGUACGGGAAGAAACCCACCUACGAGUAGGUGGCUGACGGUACCGUAAGAAUAAGCAUCGGCUAACUCCGUGCCAGCAGCCGCGGUAAUACGGAGGAUGCAAGCGUUAUCCGGAAUCAUUGGGUUUAAAGGGUCCGUAGGUGGAUCGGUCAGUCAGAGGUGAAAUCCUGCAGCUCAACUGUAGAACUGCCUUUGAUACUGCCGGUCUUGAAUUAUCGUGAAGUGGUUAGAAUAUGUAGUGUAGCGGUGAAAUGCAUAGAUAUUACAUAGAAUACCGAUUGCGAAGGCAGAUCACUAACGAUAUAUUGACACUGAUGGACGAAAGCGUGGGGAGCGAACGGGAUUAGAUACCCCGGUAGUCCACGCCGUAAACGAUGGUCACUAGCUGUUCGGACUUCGGUCUGAGUGGCUAAGCGAAAGUGAUAAGUGACCCACCUGGGGAGUACGUUCGCAAGAAUGAAACUCAAGGAAUUGACGGGGGCCCGCACAAGCGGUGGAGCAUGUGGUUUAUUCGAUGAUACGCGAGGAGCUUACCAGGGCUUAAAUGUAGAGUGACAGGUCUAGAGAUAGAUUUUACUUCGGACACUUUUAC
Molecule: ribosomal RNA, 960 nt
Filed under: uncultured bacterium
Lineage: Bacteria
Description: bacterial SSU rRNA
Rfam family: Bacterial small subunit ribosomal RNA
Source: RNAcentral